RNAcentral lists this ribosomal RNA (1075 nucleotides) under uncultured Haemophilus sp. RNAcentral's name for it is "bacterial SSU rRNA". The stretch from base 1 to 920 matches the Rfam family "Bacterial small subunit ribosomal RNA", at positions 28 to 873 of the family's 1533-position model. Lineage: Bacteria; Pseudomonadati; Pseudomonadota; Gammaproteobacteria; Pasteurellales; Pasteurellaceae. The record is from RNAcentral.
GAUGAACGCCGGCGGUGUGCCUAAUACAUGCAAGUCGAACGCGUUGGCCCAAUUGAUUGAUGGUGCUUGCACCUGAUUGAUUUUGGUUGCCAGCGAGUGGCGGACGGGUGAGUAACACGUAGGUAACCUGCCCAGAAGCGGGGGACAACAUUUGGAAACAGAUGCUAAUACCGCAUAACAGCGUUGUUCGCAUGAACAACGCUUAAAAGAUGGCUUCUCGCUAUCACUUCUGGAUGGACCUGCGGUGCAUUAGCUUGUUGGUGGGGUAACGGCCUACCAAGGCGAUGAUGCAUAGCCGAGUUGAGAGACUGAUCGGCCACAAUGGGACUGAGACACGGCCCAUACUCCUACGGGAGGCAGCAGUAGGGAAUCUUCCACAAUGGGCGCAAGCCUGAUGGAGCAACACCGCGUGAGUGAAGAAGGGUUUCGGCUCGUAAAGCUCUGUUGUUAAAGAAGAACACGUAUGAGAGUAACUGUUCAUACGUUGACGGUAUUUAACCAGAAAGUCACGGCUAACUACGUGCCAGCAGCCGCGGUAAUACGUAGGUGGCAAGCGUUAUCCGGAUUUAUUGGGCGUAAAGAGAGUGCAGGCGGUUUUCUAAGUCUGAUGUGAAAGCCUUCGGCUUAACCGGAGAAGUGCAUCGGGAAACUGGAUAACUUGAGUGCAGAAGAGGGUAGUGGGAACUCCAUGUGUAGCGGUGGAAUGCGUAGAUAUAUGGAAGAACACCAGUGGCGAAGGCGGCUACCUGGUCUGCAACUGACGCUGAGACUCGAAAGCAUGGGUAGCGGAACAGGAUAAGAUACCCUGGUAGUCCAAGGGCGAUUCCACAGUGGAUAUCAAGCUUAUCGAUACCUCGACCUGGAGGGGCGGCCCAGUACCAAGUUUUUGUUCCUUUUGUGAGGGUAAAUAAAACAUCGCCCAACCCCCUAUAUACCCUCGGGGGGGUAUGAGAAUAUGGGGCCCGAGGUUGAGGUGUAUCUUAUACUGUCUUAUUUCUCUUAUGCUUUUAGUUCCUGCGUAUACUACGCCUGCUGUAUAUUUCACCCGUAUACCCACCUCGAAAGAGACGAGGAC